Molecule: ribosomal RNA, 297 nt
Filed under: uncultured bacterium
Lineage: Bacteria
Description: partial 16S ribosomal RNA
Rfam family: Bacterial small subunit ribosomal RNA
Source: RNAcentral
GACGAACGCUGGCGGCGUGCUUAACACAUGCAAGUCGAGCGGUAAGGCCCUUUCGGGGGUACACGAGCGGCGAACGGGUGAGUAACACGUGGGUGACCUGCCCUCAGCUCUGGGAUAAGCCUGGGAAACUGGGUCUAAUACUGGAUAUGACUCCACGGUGCAUGUCGUGGGGUGGAAAGCCUUGUGCGGCUGAGGAUGGGCCCGCGGCCUAUCAGCUUGUUGGUGGGGUGAUGGCCUACCAAGGCGACGACGGGUAGCCGGCCUGAGAGGGCGACCGGCCACACUGGGACGUGAGAC